This 301-nucleotide ribosomal RNA is filed under the name uncultured bacterium. RNAcentral's name for it is "partial 16S ribosomal RNA". It matches the Rfam family "Bacterial small subunit ribosomal RNA", at positions 509 to 809 of the family's 1533-position model. The record is from RNAcentral.
CAGCCGCCGCGGGAAUACGAAGGGUGCAAGCGUUAAUCGGAAUUACUGGGCGUAAAGCGUGCGUAGGCGGUGAGUUAAGUCUGCUGUGAAAUCCCCGGGCUCAACCUGGGAAUGGCAGUGGAUACUGGCUCGCUAGAGUGUGUCAGAGGAUGGUGGAAUUCCCGGUGUAGCGGUGAAAUGCGUAGAGAUCGGGAGGAACAUCAGUGGCGAAGGCGGCCAUCUGGGCCAACACUGACGCUCAUGCACGAAAGCGUGGGGAGCAAACAGGAUUAGAUACCCCGGUAGUCCCUGUCUCUUAUAA